UGAAUACGAGACGCUAAGGCGUCGAAGUAGUGUAUGUCAUACUUCCAAGAAAAGCUUGCACUGUCAUAGAUAAAAAACGCCUGUACCAUAACCGACACAGGUGGGUAGGUAGAGUAUACUAAGGGGCGCGAGAUAACUCUCUCUAAGGAACUCGGCAAAAUGACUCCGUAACUUCGGGAGAAGGAGUGCCUUAUUCUUAAGGUUGCAAUAACAAGAUCCAAGCAACUGUUUAUCAAAAACACAGGUCUCCGCUAAGUCGUAAGACGAUGUAUGGGGGCUGACGCCUGCCCAGUGCCAGAAGGUUAAAGAAGUUGGUUAGCAUUUGCGAAGCUGAUAACUGAAGCCCUGGUGAACGGCGGCCGUAACAAUAACGGUCCUAAGGUAGCGAAAUUCCUUGUCGGGUAAGUUCCGACCCGCACGAAAGGCGUAAUGAUUUGGAUACUGUCUCGGAGAGGGGCUCGGUGAAAUAGACUUGUCUGUGAAGAUGCGGACUACCUGCACCAGGACAGAAAGACCCUAUGAAGCUUUACUGUAACUUGAAAUUGAAAUUGGACUUUAUUCGCGCAGUAUAGGUAGGAGGCGUUGAUUAUAAUCUUGCGGGAUUAUUGGAGCCAUCAGUGAGAUACCACCCUUUGUAAUGUUAGAUUUCUAACUUUGAAUCAUUAUCUGCCCAAAGAACAGUUUCAGGCGGGCAGUUUGACUGGGGCGGUCGCCUCCUAAACGGUAACGGAGGCGUACAAAGGUUUCCUCUGAACGGUUAGAAAUCGUAUCUAGAGUGUAAAGGCAUAAGGAAGCUUGACUGUGAGACCUACAAGUCGAGCAGGGACGAAAGUCGGUCUUAGUGAUCUGACGGUACUGAGUGGAAAGGCCGUCACUCAACGGAUAAAAGUUACUCUAAGGAUAACAGGCUGAUCUCCCCCAAGAGUUCACAUCGACGGGGAGGUUUGGCACCUCGAUGUCGGCUCAUCGCAUCCUGGGGCGGUAGUACGUCCCAAGGGUUGGGCUGUUCGCCCAUGAAAGCGGUACGCGAGCUGGGUUCAGAACGUCGUGAGACAGUUCGGUCCAUAUCCGGUGUAGGCGUUAGAAUAUUGAGAGGAGCCUUCUUUAGUACGAGAGGACCGAGAAGGACAUACCUCUGGUGUACCAGUUAUCGUGCCAACGGUAAACGCUGGGUAGCUAUGUAUGGAGUGGAUAACCGCUGAAAGCAUCUAAGUGGGAAGC
This 1221-nucleotide ribosomal RNA is filed under the name metagenome. RNAcentral's name for it is "bacterial LSU rRNA". It matches the Rfam family "Bacterial large subunit ribosomal RNA", at positions 1564 to 2793 of the family's 2925-position model. The record is from RNAcentral.